Long non-coding RNA from Dendroctonus ponderosae (mountain pine beetle), 477 nucleotides. RefSeq lists it as uncharacterized. The transcript has 3 exons. NCBI's taxonomy places the organism in Eukaryota, Metazoa, Arthropoda, Insecta, Coleoptera, Curculionidae. The record is from RefSeq and is a predicted model, not a curated record.
UUCAUACUGAUUGGAAAUGCAACAAUUUAAAUUAAUAUGGUGGCUAAUGGAAAAAUUAUGACCAUUCAGCUUCAGCUGCGUGCUGGUGCGACAACAAUAAUCAAUAAAAGUUACUAAUUGCCUAUCUGAAGUUCAACAAAAUCGAAUUGACUCGCGAAAAAGCUGCCAAAGUGUUCAGUAAUCAACCAAUUAGCUUAAAUUGUUGUGUCGACAGUGCCGCUUACAUAAUAGAAUGUAUAAUUAUCUGAAAUUCAUCUGUGCAUAUGGUUGGUUUUUUUGGCAGGCUGUUUGGUAGCUGAUCGGCAGGUGAGCGCCGCCGGAGCUUUAGAUAACUGACUGAAACACCCAAGAAUGAACUACCUGCUUUGGAUGGAUUGUAGACGAUAUUCCUUGCAAUCUGUAGCAGAAAUGGCUGAAAUCCUACGUUUCAAUAUUUUGGUACUGUAACUAAUAAGAAUGGGAUGUUGACUCAAAAAA